RNAcentral lists this ribosomal RNA (265 nucleotides) under uncultured bacterium. Its description in RNAcentral is "partial 16S ribosomal RNA". It matches the Rfam family "Bacterial small subunit ribosomal RNA", at positions 793 to 1055 of the family's 1533-position model. The record is from RNAcentral.
GUCCUAGCCCUAAACCAUCGGAACUUGGGGUGGCCCGCGUAGGCGGGUCGUCCCGUAGCUAACGCGUUAAGUUCCGCGCCUGGGGGAGUACGGUCGCAAGACUGAAACUCAAAGGAAUUGACGGGGGCCCGCACAAGCGGUGGAACAUGUGGUUCAAUUCGACGCAACGCGAAGAACCUUACCUGGGCUUGAACCGCUACUGACCAACGGUAGAAAUAUCGUCUUCUCGCAAGAGACAGUAGUAGAGGUGCUGCAUGGCUGUCGU